Long non-coding RNA from Vespa mandarinia (Asian giant hornet), 306 nucleotides. The record is from RefSeq and is a predicted model, not a curated record. NCBI's taxonomy places the organism in Eukaryota, Metazoa, Arthropoda, Insecta, Hymenoptera, Vespidae.
GGUGGUGGUGGUGGUGGUGGUGGUGAUGGUGAUGGCGAGAUAGUGGUGGUAGUACGAAAGUUAAACUUUGUGAAGUAGAAGGAAGAAGACAAAAUCAUGGAGAGACAAGAAGGGCGGGGAUCAAGCUGAAGAAAGGCGAGAGAGCUAUAAAAGAGGCACCGCUCUCGACGAUGGGCAUCAAACACCUCGACAUGAAGGUGUUCGUAAUUACGCUCCUAUUGGCGUGCAUCGCCACCGCCUACGGCGGUUACAUAAGCAGCGGAGGUUGGUCCGGCGGCGGUGGCGGCUGGUCUGGUGGCGGUGGAG